AUCUAACUGCUAUUAGAAUAUGGACGAUGACC
Molecule: non-coding RNA, 32 nt
Filed under: Homo sapiens (human)
Lineage: Eukaryota; Metazoa; Chordata; Mammalia; Primates; Hominidae
Source: RNAcentral